RNAcentral lists this ribosomal RNA (885 nucleotides) under Thaumatocotyle sp. MW-2021. RNAcentral describes it as "partial large subunit ribosomal RNA". It matches the Rfam family "Eukaryotic large subunit ribosomal RNA", at positions 83 to 632 of the family's 3401-position model. Lineage: Eukaryota; Metazoa; Platyhelminthes; Monogenea; Monocotylidea; Monocotylidae. The record is from RNAcentral.
GUAACGGCGAGUGAACGGGGAUUAGCCCAGCAUCGAAGCCUAUGGUCGCUUGACUGUAAGGCAAUGUGAUGUUAUGGGUCCUGCCUAGGGUCACUGGUCAACUCGAAGUCCAAUAUUGAAUGUGGCUUUUGUAUUUGGCCCAUAGCGGGUGAUAGGCCCGUGCGAGUUGAUCUUAAGUUAUGUUGUAGUGACCUCUAGAUGCAGUGACCUUUGGAGUCGGAUUGCUUGAGAAUGCAGUCCAAAGUUGGUGGUAAACUCCAUCAAAGGCUAAAUACUGGCACGAGUCCGAUAGCAAACAAGUACCGUGAGGGAAAGUUGAAAAGUACUCUGAAGAGAGAGUAAAUAGUACGUGAAACCACAUGAAGGUAAGCGGGUGGAGUCCAGCUGCUUGCCUUGAAGAUUUAGCCAGCCUGUGUACAAUGGGUGUUGUGGACUGCCAUGUAUGGUUCGACUCGCAAGGUCGAAUUGGGCUUUAUGCUCAAUCCAUGUGCUGUGUUGUACACAGUAUGGGCCGCGCAUGACAUGGUGGGAAUGUCCGCAGGUUGGUGUCAUUCUUCAUGUGCUAACAUCACAGUCAAUAUUGCUGCUAGUAUGUGAUGUGUCAAACCGCCAAGUGGUGGGCCUCGAAGUCCACCCUUGUCGGGACGGCAGGUGGUGUGCGUGUGUUUGCCUCGUGCUUGCGCAUGUACGCUUAAACAAUGGCUACGGCCAGCCGACCAUCACGUUGUAUACAUUGUCUACAUUUAACUAUGCAGUGUAUUGGUCAUAGUUUGUGCAAUUGCGCGAUUAAUUGCUCAUGUUACCAGGUCUGGCGCGUGAUGGGUUAUGUGUAAAAGCGUGCCCUUUGUGCUGUCGGUCUGUGUGCGUGGUCAAUGAGUUCGUACU